UACGUAGGGAGCAAGCGUUGUCCGGAAUUAUUGGGCGUAAAGAGCUCGUAGGCGGCUUGUCGCGUCGACCGUGAAAACUUGGGGCUCAACCCCAAGCCUGCGGUCGAUACGGGCAGGCUCGAGUUCGGUAGGGGAGACUGGAAUUCCUGGUGUAGCGGUGAAAUGCGCAGAUAUCAGGAGGAACACCGGUGGCGAAGGCGGGUCUCUGGGCCGAUACUGACGCUGAGGAGCGAAAGCGUGGGGAGCGAACAGG
This 253-nucleotide ribosomal RNA is filed under the name uncultured bacterium. RNAcentral's name for it is "partial 16S ribosomal RNA". It matches the Rfam family "Bacterial small subunit ribosomal RNA", at positions 524 to 776 of the family's 1533-position model. The record is from RNAcentral.